GAUUAAAAUUUGUCUCAAUAUCGAUUGAAUUUAUUGAUAUUUCCUUAUUUUCUUGAGUCUCGGGCUCAAUGGAUUCUUCAUGAAUCUCAGAAUUUAUUAAAUCAUGAAUUUCCUCAUGAGAUUCUUUCGUAGUGUCAUUUCUCAAUGGAUUCUUCAUGAAUCUCAAAAUUUAUUAAAUCGUGAAUUUCCUCAUGAGAUUCUUUUGUAGUAUCACUUUGAUCGUUUGGUUUCCUUUUUCUAGGAUUUCUAUCUUUGAACCUAAUGGUUUGCCACGUUUUAGGCGUUUUUUCGACUCAUUAGAUAUGACACUAGAAGAUUGUCCAAUAGGGACAUCAAUACG
This 340-nucleotide long non-coding RNA is filed under the name Nicotiana benthamiana. RNAcentral describes it as "long non-coding RNA (NBEN_LNC019921)". The record is from RNAcentral. Lineage: Eukaryota; Viridiplantae; Streptophyta; Magnoliopsida; Solanales; Solanaceae.